This 202-nucleotide non-coding RNA is filed under the name Streptomyces sp. NBRC 110611. RNAcentral describes it as "Streptomyces sRNA scr5239". It matches the Rfam family "Streptomyces sRNA scr5239". From Rfam's summary of the family: It inhibits agarase DagA expression by direct base pairing to the dagA coding region, and it represses translation of methionine synthase metE (SCO0985) at the 5' end of its open reading frame. The record is from Rfam by way of RNAcentral. Lineage: Bacteria; Bacillati; Actinomycetota; Actinomycetes; Kitasatosporales; Streptomycetaceae.
CCUCCGCUCUCCCCGCACAGGAGAGCGGAACGAGGCCCGAGGCGCUCUCUGCCCUGACUGCGCCGAGGCCUCCGAUCGACCGGCCCCCAGGACGGGGCGGCGCCCCUGCCGCACAGGGGUCGCUCUCCCGCCCGUACGGCGGGCCGGCCGAUGUCAGCUCCGGGCUGCGGUGCCGGACAGGCUGAGGGUCCUGUCCCGGUGC